AGGACGAACGCUGGCGGCGUGCUUAACACAUGCAAGUCGAGCGGAAAGGCUCCUUCGGGGGUACUCGGGCGGCGAACGGGUGAGUAACACGUGAGUAAUCUGCCCUUGGCUUCGGGAUAGCCACCGGAAACGGUGAUUAAUACCGGAUACGACACAUCACUGCAUGGUGCGUGUGUGGAAAGUUUUUUCGGCCAGGGAUGUGCUCGCGGCCUAUCAGCUUGUUGGUGGGGUAAUGGCCUACCAAGGCUUCGACGGGUAGCCGGCCUGAGAGGGUGACCGGCCACACUGGGACUGAGACACGGCCCAGACUCCUACGGGAGGCAGCAGUGGGGAAUAUUGGACAAUGGGCGGAAGCCUGAUCCAGCAACGCCGCGUGAGGGAUGACGGCCUUCGGGUUGUAAACCUCUUUCAGCACAGACGAAGCGCAAGUGACGGUAUGUGCAGAAGAAGGACCGGCCAACUACGUGCCAGCAGCCGCGGUAAUACGUAGGGUCCGAGCGUUGUCCGGAAUUAUUGGGCGUAAAGGGCUCGUAGGCGGUUUGUCGCGUCGGGAGUGAAAACACCGGGCUUAACUCGGUGCUUGCUUUCGAUACGGGCAGACUAGAGGCAUUCAGGGGAGAACGGAAUUCCUGGUGUAGCGGUGAAAUGCGCAGAUAUCAGGAGGAACACCGGUGGCGAAGGCGGUUCUCUGGGAAUGUCCUGACGCUGAGGAG
RNAcentral lists this ribosomal RNA (713 nucleotides) under uncultured Actinomycetes bacterium. RNAcentral describes it as "bacterial SSU rRNA". It matches the Rfam family "Bacterial small subunit ribosomal RNA", at positions 26 to 753 of the family's 1533-position model. The record is from RNAcentral. Lineage: Bacteria; Bacillati; Actinomycetota; Actinomycetes.